GUCGAACGGUAACAGAUCUAGCUUGCUAGAUGCUGACGAGUGGCGCACGGGUGCGUAACGCGUAUACAAUCUACCUUUAACUGAGGGAUAGCCCAGAGAAAUUUGGAUUAAUACCUCAUAGUAUUAUGAUUAGGCAUCUUUUUAUAAUUAAAACUUCGGUGGUUAAAGAUGAGUAUGCGUACUAUUAGCUAGUUGGUAAGGUAAAAGCUUACCAAGGCAACGAUAGUUAGGGGGCCUGAAAGGGUGAUCCCCCACACUGGUACUGAGACACGGACCAGACUCCUACGGGAGGCAGCAGUGAGGAAUAUUGCACAAUGGAGGAAACUCUGAUGCAGCCAUGCCGCGUGCAGGAAGAAUGCCCUAUGGGUUGUAAACUGCUUUUAUACAAGAAGAAGCCUCGGUACGUGUACCGACUUGACGGUAUUGUAUGAAUAAGCACCGGCUAACUCCGUGCCAGCAGCCGCGGUAAUACGGAGGGUGCAAGCGUUAUCCGGAUUUAUUAGGUUUAAAGGGUCCGCAGGCGGAAUAUUAAGUCAGUGGUGAAAAGCCUACAGCUCAACUGUAGAACUGCCAUUGAUACUGAUAUUCUUGAGUAUGGAUGAAGUGGGGCGGAAUAUGUUCAUGUAGCGGGU
Molecule: ribosomal RNA, 632 nt
Filed under: uncultured bacterium
Lineage: Bacteria
Description: bacterial SSU rRNA
Rfam family: Bacterial small subunit ribosomal RNA
Source: RNAcentral